This 75-nucleotide transfer RNA is filed under the name Brumimicrobium oceani. RNAcentral describes it as "Brumimicrobium sp. C305 tRNA-Cys". It matches the Rfam family "tRNA". Rfam says of the family: Transfer RNA (tRNA) molecules are approximately 80 nucleotides in length. Their secondary structure includes four short double-helical elements and three loops (D, anti-codon, and T loops). Lineage: Bacteria; Pseudomonadati; Bacteroidota; Flavobacteriia; Flavobacteriales; Crocinitomicaceae. The record is from RNAcentral.
GGUCCUGUGGCCGAGUGGCUUAGGCAAUGGUCUGCAAAACCAUCUACAGCAGUUCGAAUCUGCUCGGGACCUCUA